CUACGGGAGGCAGCAGUGGGGAAUAUUGCACAAUGGGCGGAAGCCUGAUGCAGCGACGCCGCGUGAGGGAUGACGGCCUUCGGGUUGUAAACCUCUUUCAGCAGGGACGAAGCGUAAGUGACGGUACCUGCAGAAGAAGCGCCGGCCAACUACGUGCCAGCAGCCGCGGUAAGACGUAGGGCGCGAGCGUUGUCCGGAUUUAUUGGGCGUAAAGAGCUCGUAGGCGGCUUGUCGCGUCGACCGUGAAAACUUGGGGCUCAACCCCAAGCCUGCGGUCGAUACGGGCAGGCUAGAGUUCGGUAGGGGAGACUGGAAUUCCUGGUGUAGCGGUGAAAUGCGCAGAUAUCAGGAGGAACACCGGUGGCGAAGGCGGGUCUCUGGGCCGAUACUGACGCUGAGGAGCGAAAGCGUGGGGAGCGAACAGGAUUAGAUACCCCUGUAGUCC
Molecule: ribosomal RNA, 445 nt
Filed under: uncultured bacterium
Lineage: Bacteria
Description: bacterial SSU rRNA
Rfam family: Bacterial small subunit ribosomal RNA
Source: RNAcentral